RNAcentral lists this ribosomal RNA (446 nucleotides) under uncultured bacterium. Its description in RNAcentral is "bacterial SSU rRNA". It matches the Rfam family "Bacterial small subunit ribosomal RNA", at positions 355 to 825 of the family's 1533-position model. The record is from RNAcentral.
UCGGGAAUUUUGGGCAAUGGGGGAAACCCUGACCCAGCAACGCCGCGUGAAGGAUGAAGUAUUUCGGUAUGUAAACUUCGAAAGAAUAGGAAGAAUAAAUGACGGUACUAUUUAUAAGGUCCGGCUAACUACGUGCCAGCAGCCGCGGUAAUACGUAGGGACCAAGCGUUGUUCGGAUUUACUGGGCGUAAAGGGCGCGUAGGCGGCAAUUCAAGUCAUCUGUGAAAUCUCCGGGCUUAACUCGGAACGGUCAGAUGAUACUGCUUUGCUAGAGUGCAGAAGGGGCAAUCGGAAUUCUUGGUGUAGCGGUGAAAUGCGUAGAUAUCAAGAGGAACACCUGAGGUGAAGACGGGUUGCUGGGCUGACACUGACGCUGAGGCGCGAAAGCCAGGGGAGCAAACGGGAUUAGAUACCCUGUAGUCCCUGAGCGGGCUGGCAAGGCGCAU